This 2578-nucleotide long non-coding RNA is filed under the name Marmota monax (woodchuck). Lineage: Eukaryota; Metazoa; Chordata; Mammalia; Rodentia; Sciuridae. The record is from RNAcentral.
UUUUUUUUUUUUGCUUCAAGUUACAUUGACUAGGGUUAUUUAUGGCUCAAUUUGAUCAUUUUGAGGAUUUUGUUAAGCUUUGCUCGGGUCUACUUACAGUAGCUUUUAAUCUAUGUAAUAGAGUUCUGUUCCAUUUUAAAGAGGAGCAUGUUCAUAACUGUAACUGAUAGUGUAUCAAAUGAAUAAAAUUCAUGAAUGUGUAGUGAUUUUUAAGAAAAAUAAAGGUUUGGGGCUCUGUUUUAUAGAAGAAUGCCAAUAGAAGGUGAUAAAGAAUCAUGAUUUUGUAAACUAUAAUGUAACACUGAUCCAUACAAGGAUCGUCGUGUGUAUUAAUUUCUUGUUGUUGAUGUAACAAGCUACUACAAAGUGGUGUACCAUAACAUUGAUUUAUUAUUUUUCAGUUCUGGAGACCAGAAGUCCAAAAUGGGUCAAAUAGGAUAAGACUCUCUGCUGGCUAGAGGUAACUCAGAUUAAUUCCCCAAAUUAUAGGAUUUCUCUUUUUGCUUGACUUCAUAGAGUCUCAUCAUAUACCUCAGUUUAAUUAUAACUAAAUAUUAUAAAAUGAUGAUAAGAAUAACUAAAUGUUCUCAUUAUCAUCAUUUUAAACUAUGGGACAAUUGUGUGUUUCUAAAAAAUAAGGACAUCAUCUAUAAAUUCAUAAGAAGCUGUUAUUAAUGUAUUCCAUAAUGUGAUCUAAUUUUUAAACUAUAUUUAAAGUUCCACUGAUUGUCUUUAAAAUUAUUGUUAAGUAUCAAUAUCCAUUUUAAGUUUACAUAUUGCAUUUGUUUAUUAUGUCUUUUCCAUCCUUUUUAAAAAUUUAGAAUGUCUCCCAUCCUUUUUUAUGACAUUGCAAUUUUGAGGAGUAUAGAGUAGUAGACAUACAAUAAGUUUCAUUUCCUGAAUGUGUUUGAUUAUUUUAUUGUGGCAUCAUUUCUUUAUGCUGUAAGUUAGAGCUAAAGCUUAUUUAAAUACAGAUUAAAAUUUUUUGGUAAGAUUAUCUUAUAAAUUAUUUGUGUACUUUAAAUUAUAUAACAUUAGUUGGUAUAUAAUUUCUCAUUGUCCCAUGGUUUAAGAUGAUGAUAAUGAGAACACUUAGUUAUAAAAGUCAUUAAUAAGUAAUCUGUGAGGUGAUGCUCUGUUAUGGUUUGGAUAUGAAGUUUCCUCCAAAAGCUCCUACUAAUGCAGGAAUAUUCAGAGGUAAAAUAAUUAGAUAUUAGAUUAUACAGAGUUGUAAUCAGUCAAUCCUAGAUUGAAUGGAAUGACUGGGUGUUAACUGGACAGGUAGUCAUGACUAGAAGUGGAUUCCUGGGGAUAUGCCCUGGAAGGGUGCAUCUUCCUGGUGGCCCUUUCCCCCUCGUCUCUCUAUCUCUACUUCCUGGCAGCUUCCCUCCACCAUGCCCUUCUGCCAAGAUGUGCUGCGUCAUCUUGGUCCAGAUCAAUGGAGCCUGCCAUCUAUAGACUGAGACUUCUUAUAUCAUGAGCCAAAAUAAACUUUUCCUUCUCUUAAGUUAUUUUUGCUGGGUAUUUUGGUCACAGUGACACAAAAAUUAACUACUAAAACAGAUAACAUCAAUAUUCUGCUUAGAAGCAACUUUUUGCAAAGUAUGGUAGGCUGAAGGACCCACACCCCAUUCCACAUCCUAAUCACUGAAACUGUGAAUAUGUAGUCUUAAAUGGAAAAACAGGACUUUGCAGGUAUGAUUCAAUUAAUAAUCCUGUGAUCGGGAGGUUAUUCUGGAUUAUUUGGGUAGGCACAACGUGAACACAAGUGUCCUCAUAAGGAACAGGAAGGUCAGAGUUAGAAGUACACGUCAUGAUGAAAGUAGAGGUUGGAAGGACAUGGGGCUAUGAGAUUGAAGAAUGUGGACAGAUGUAGAAACUAAAAAAGAUGAGAAACAGAUUUUCCCUAGAGUCACUUAAAAAAAUGUAGGCAUGUUCAUCCAUUUUGGACUUCUGGUCUCCAGAACUGCAAAAUAAUAAAUCUAUGUGUGGUCAGCCAUUAAGUUUGCAACAUCAGCAAAAAGAAAUUGACAUACAAGAUGUCAAUUCAUCCUUGUAUGAAUCAGUGUUACAAUAUACAUUGUAAAAUUAUGAUUCUUUUAUUCUGUGCCACCUUCUAUUGACCUUCUUCUAUAAAACAGAGCCCUAAUCUUUUUCUUAAGUAUCACUACAAAUUUGUGAACUUUUAUUCAUUUGACAUAAUAUCAGUUACAGUUAUUUGUGCUGGUGCUUAAAUAUUUUCCAGUUUUGACAGUGGGAGCCCCUGUAACCUGUCCUCACAGCAGAUUGAAGACUCCUGUGACCUGAUGUUAAUCUUUAAGUACUGUCUUUUCUGGCAUAAAAACAUAUCCUAGAAUAUUUCUCAUCUAUUUCUCCAAGGAGUGAUGGUUUCUUGAAUGUGUUGAGUAUGGUGAAGGUUCAAAAUCAAGAUUUGUUCAUCUUGAGGAGUAUUCAUAUUCUAAGUAUGAAAGGGAAUAUUCAUGCUUAUGUCUAUUUGAUAUUGGAAUCAGUUAUCUAAAAAAAUUCUGGGAAUGUGAAAUGUGGUCUGUUUGUCUUUAUUUCUGAAAUAAAUAAUCCC